RNAcentral lists this transfer RNA (77 nucleotides) under Crithagra concolor (Sao Tome canary). RNAcentral's name for it is "Neospiza concolor tRNA-Asx". The record is from RNAcentral. Lineage: Eukaryota; Metazoa; Chordata; Aves; Passeriformes; Fringillidae.
UUUACUAGACAGAUGGGCUUCGAUCCCAUGACUCUGUAGUUAACAGCUACAUGCCCCAACCAACAGGCCUCUGCCUA